Molecule: ribosomal RNA, 369 nt
Filed under: uncultured bacterium
Lineage: Bacteria
Description: bacterial SSU rRNA
Rfam family: Bacterial small subunit ribosomal RNA
Source: RNAcentral
ACGGAGGAUGCGAGCGUUAUCCGGAUUUAUUGGGUUUAAAGGGUGCGUAGGCGGACCGAUAAGUCAGUGGUGAAAACCUGCAGCUUAACUGUAGACGUGCCAUUGAUACUGUCGGACUUGAGUGUGGUCAAGGUAGGCGGAAUGUGUAAUGUAGCGGUGAAAUGCUUAGAUAUUACACAGAACACCGAUUGCGAAGGCAGCUUGCUGGACCAUUACUGACGCUGAUGCACGAAAGCGUGGGGAGCGAACAGGAUUAGAUACCCUGGUAGUCCACGCCGUAAACGAUGAUCACUCGCUGUUAGCGAUAUACAGUUAGCGGCUAAGCAAAAGCAUUAAGUGAUCCACCUGGGGAGUACGGCCGCAAGGCUG